AUGGGGAACACUAACUUUGCUUGUUAUAAGCCAAUCUGGAAAUCCAAGGCACCCCCUCGAUGCAAAUUCUUCAUGUGGCUUGCAGUACAUCAACGGUGUCUGACUGCGGACAACCUGUCACAACCGGAAACAUGCUUACAUCUUUUUAUGCACUGCAACUACACCAAGCUACUUUGGCGUCGCUUUAGAGCUUGGACGAGAGCUGAUUUUCUUAUCUCGGAUGCUACUUUCAGCUCCACGGAGGAAUGGUGGCUGCAGGCCAGGGCGGCUAUCCCGAAACCAUUCAGGAGAAACUUCGACACGGUUACCAUCCUUAUACACCGGAGGAUUUGGAAGGAAAGAAAUGCUAGGAUUUUUGACACUGUGAAUAGUUCGGUGGACAGGGUGGGGACCUGAUCCCUAGAGGAUGUCAAUGUCUGGAGGGCUGCGGGGUGUAUUGCUGACCUGCCGUCGUGA
This 456-nucleotide ribosomal RNA is filed under the name Triticum aestivum (bread wheat). Its description in RNAcentral is "partial small subunit ribosomal RNA". The record is from RNAcentral. Lineage: Eukaryota; Viridiplantae; Streptophyta; Magnoliopsida; Poales; Poaceae.